RNAcentral lists this ribosomal RNA (370 nucleotides) under uncultured organism. RNAcentral's name for it is "partial 16S ribosomal RNA". It matches the Rfam family "Bacterial small subunit ribosomal RNA", at positions 527 to 896 of the family's 1533-position model. The record is from RNAcentral.
GAAGGGUGCAAGCGUUACUCGGAAUUACUGGGCGUAAAGCGUGCGUAGGUGGUGGUUUAAGUCUGCUGUGAAAGCCCUGGGCUCAACCUGGGAAUUGCAGUGGAUACUGGGUCACUAGAGUGUGGUAGAGGGAUGCGGAAUUUCCGGUGUAGCAGUGAAAUGCGUAGAGAUCGGAAGGAACAUCCGUGGCGAAGGCGGCAUCCUGGGCCAACACUGACACUGAGGCACGAAAGCGUGGGGGAGCAAACAGGAUUAGAUACCCUGGUAGUCCACGCCCUAAACGAUGCGAACUGGAUGUUGGGUGCAACUUGGCACCCAGUAUCGAAGCUAACGCGUUAAGUUCGCCGCCUGGGAGUACGGUCGCAAGCUG